Molecule: unclassified non-coding RNA, 335 nt
Filed under: soil metagenome
Description: partial contains 5.8S ribosomal RNA, internal transcribed spacer 2, and large subunit ribosomal RNA
Rfam family: 5.8S ribosomal RNA (bases 1-120)
Source: RNAcentral
GAUGAAGAACGCAGCGAAAUGCGAUAAGUAAUGUGAAUUGCAGAAUUCAGUGAAUCAUCGAAUCUUUGAACGCACAUUGCGCCCGCUAGUAUUCUGGCGGGCAUGCCUGUCCGAGCGUCAUUUCAACCAUCAAGCCCCCGGCUUGUGUUGGGGACCUGCGGCUGCCGCAGGCCCUGAAAACCAGUGGCGGGCUCGCUAGUCACUCCGAGCGUAGUAAUACAUCUCGCUCAGGGCGUGCUGCGGGUUCCGGCCGUUAAAAAGCCUUAUUUACCCAAGGUUGACCUCGGAUCAGGUAGGAAGACCCGCUGAACUUAAGCAUAUCAAUAAGCGGAGGA